Molecule: ribosomal RNA, 492 nt
Filed under: uncultured bacterium
Lineage: Bacteria
Description: partial 16S ribosomal RNA
Rfam family: Bacterial small subunit ribosomal RNA
Source: RNAcentral
AGUGAACGCUGGCGGUAGGCCUAACACAUGCAAGUCGAACGGCAGCACAGUAAGAGCUUGCUCUUACGGGUGGCGAGUGGUGGACGGGUGAGGAAUACAUCGGAAUCUACUUUUUCGUGGGGGAUAACGUAGGGAAACUUACGCUAAUACCGCAUACGACCUACGGGUGAAAGCAGGGGAUCUUCGUACCUUGCGCGAUUGAAUGAGCCGAUGUCGGAUUAGCUAGUUGGCGGGGUAAAGGCCCACCAAGGCGACGAUACGUAGCUGGUCUGAGAGGAUGAUCAGCCACACUGGAACUGAGACACGGUCCAGACUCCUACGGGAGGCAGCAGUGGGGAAUAUUGGACAAUGGGCGCAAGCCUGAUCCAGCCAUACCGCGUGGGUGAAGAAGGCCUUCGGGUUGUAAAGCCCUUUUGUUGGGAAAGAAAAGCAGCAGGUCAAUACCCCGAUGUUCUGACGGUACCCAAAGAAUAAGCACCGGCUAACUUCGUG